RNAcentral lists this ribosomal RNA (468 nucleotides) under uncultured bacterium. Its description in RNAcentral is "partial 16S ribosomal RNA". It matches the Rfam family "Bacterial small subunit ribosomal RNA", at positions 28 to 507 of the family's 1533-position model. The record is from RNAcentral.
GACGAACGCUGGCGGCGUGCCUAACACAUGCAAGUCGAACGGAAAGGCCCUGCUUUCGCGGGGUGUCCGAGUGGGGCACGGGUGAGAAACCUGUGAGUAACCUGGCCUUGAGUUUGGGACAACCUCAGGCAACCGGGGCUAACACAGGCUACGUGCUCCUGAUGCAUGGGGGGGGUUGGACAGCAUCGGCGGGUAGGGAUAGACUUGCGGCUAAUUAGCUUGUUGGUGGAGUAGCUGCUUAGCCACGGUUAGGCGGGUAGUCGGCCUGGGAGGGGGGCCAGGGACAAGAGGACUGAGAGACGGACCAGACGCCAACGGGAGGCAGCAGUGGGAAAUAUUACACAAUGGGCGGAAGCGUGAGGCAGCGGCGCCGCGUGCGGAAUGACGGCCUUCUGGUGGGAAACCGCAGUCACCUGUUACGAAGCGUGUGUGACGGUAAUAGGUGAAGAAGCACCGGCUAACUACGUG